RNAcentral lists this ribosomal RNA (466 nucleotides) under uncultured bacterium. Its description in RNAcentral is "partial 16S ribosomal RNA". It matches the Rfam family "Bacterial small subunit ribosomal RNA", at positions 29 to 506 of the family's 1533-position model. The record is from RNAcentral.
ACGAACGCUGGCGGCGUGCUUAACCCAUGCCAGUCGCACGGAAAGGCCCUGCUUUUGUGGGGUGCUCGAGUGGCGAACGGGUGAGUAACACGUGAGUAACCUGCCCUUGACUUUGGGAUAACUUCAGGAAACUGGGGCUAAUACCGGAUAGGAGCUCCUGCUGCAUGGUGGGGGUUGGAAAGUUUCGGCGGUUGGGGAUGGACUCGCGGCUUAUCAGCUUGUUGGUGGGGUAGUGGCUUACCAAGGCUUUGACGGGUAGCCGGCCUGAGAGGGUGACCGGCCUCAUUGGGACUGAGAUACGGCCCAGACUCCUACGGGAGGCAGCAGUGGGGAAUAUUGCACAAUGGGCGGAAGCCUGAUGCAGCAACGCCGCGUGCGGGAUGACGGCCUUCGGGUUGUAAACCGCUUUCGCCUGUGACGAAGCGUGAGUGACGGUAAUGGGUAAAGAAGCACCGGCUAACUACGU